UGCACCACUGUGUUGUGUUUGUAACCUGGCCCACUCUGUUUUCUUCCCCUUUUCUUUGUUCUUUUCCUUUUCUCCUGUGAACACUCCAGAACUCUCUCUCUUUUCGAACUCUCUGCCUUCUCUCUAAACCACCAUAGCCAAAAAGAACUCCAAGCACCAUCACAACAAAUUCCAAUUUAAUUGAGACCCCAAACCACCAAAAUACAAGACAUGCGCAAGCUGGGGAUAACUAUGGUACCAUUGCAUGUUAAAUUUUGUAAUGGGAAGUAGGAUAAUCCAAGCAGGGGUUCUCGGUGAGAGUUGCUCUAAUGGAAUCAAGCUACAACCCUUGAAAAAAAGAGUGCGACUGCUUCCGGAGCUACAUGAGUUUUUGGGCACGGUGGGACAUUUCGCCAAACCGGCAGCUGAUCCAUGAAAUCCUUGAGGCUUUUGAGGAGAGGUUGGUGGAGAAGAAGAGGAGCAGAAACUCAUGUUCUUGAAUUUUGACAUGGAAGUCAGCCAAGAAGUAAAAAAUAGAUAUUUAUCAUAGGCAUUCAUCCCUAAGAUGCACAAUUUGAAAGAACUUUUGGUGUUUGGAAAAAUAGAUUGACAAUGAUUCUUCACACGCGUAGCUUCGCUUUUGAAAAACAGGUACAAACUGUUGUUCCUUCAAUGACUUUACACAAUUUUAUUUGGAA
Molecule: non-coding RNA, 677 nt
Organism: Malus domestica (apple)
Lineage: Eukaryota; Viridiplantae; Streptophyta; Magnoliopsida; Rosales; Rosaceae
Source: RefSeq, a predicted model, not a curated record